This 71-nucleotide transfer RNA is filed under the name Loxodonta africana (African savanna elephant). It matches the Rfam family "tRNA". Rfam says of the family: Transfer RNA (tRNA) molecules are approximately 80 nucleotides in length. Their secondary structure includes four short double-helical elements and three loops (D, anti-codon, and T loops). Lineage: Eukaryota; Metazoa; Chordata; Mammalia; Proboscidea; Elephantidae. The record is from Rfam by way of RNAcentral.
CCAGUGGAGGUUCAGUGAUAGAAUUCUCGUCUUCCAUGUGGGAGACCUGGGUUUGAUUCUCAGCCAAUGCA